This 300-nucleotide ribosomal RNA is filed under the name Triticum aestivum (bread wheat). RNAcentral's name for it is "partial small subunit ribosomal RNA". Lineage: Eukaryota; Viridiplantae; Streptophyta; Magnoliopsida; Poales; Poaceae. The record is from RNAcentral.
AUGGAGUUGAUGGCCUAUUCUUUUUUCAAGGAGUUGUUCACUAGAGACCCAUCUUUGAAUGCAGACGAAAUCAUUAGCCUACUGGAGAAGAAAGUAACGGAUGAGAUGAAUGAUUCACUUUGUAAAGAAUUCUCUGAGGAAGAAAUCUCUGAUGCGCUGUUUCCAAUAGGCCCCCUAAAGGCUCCGGGGUUCCCGGCGCGUUUCUAUCAAAGGAAUUGGGCAGUCUUGAAGGACACGGUUGUUGCGGCGGUCAGACAGGACACAUGCCGUCAGAGACUAACUCCACGGCAAUUGUGUUAA